RNAcentral lists this transfer RNA (88 nucleotides) under Mycobacterium basiliense. RNAcentral's name for it is "tRNA-Ala". Lineage: Bacteria; Bacillati; Actinomycetota; Actinomycetes; Mycobacteriales; Mycobacteriaceae. The record is from RNAcentral.
UAACGCGUGGGCGGGGUUCUUGCUGAUGCGUUUGGCAAGUGCAUGGGCCUGGGGGAGGAGAUCGUCGUGCGGCACGACGCGGCUUACC